This 451-nucleotide long non-coding RNA is filed under the name Ananas comosus (pineapple). Its description in RNAcentral is "long non-coding RNA (ACOM_LNC020336)". Lineage: Eukaryota; Viridiplantae; Streptophyta; Magnoliopsida; Poales; Bromeliaceae. The record is from RNAcentral.
UAAAAAGUAUGUAAAAAACUUACCUAACUCUAAACUAUCUUACUUACUAUCGCUAGCGCAGGUGAUAAAAGAUUUGAUGAUUGAUAUUCGAGCUCCCAAAUUUAAAGCCUAAUUGCUUUAUAUUUGUAGUUAAGUUUAUUUUUAAGAAAAAAAUAAAUGAAGCAGAUAGCAUGCUACAUUUCUCUAAAAAAAAAAAAAAAUUAUAGACCAUAUUGACUCAACUAUUCAACCUUUUAACAUUUUAAUUUUAGUGCAUAACCUUUCAAUUUGUUUGAUUUAAAUGAUUUGAUAGCUCUUUGAGUAUAAAAUUUAAGCUAAUUGCUAAAUUUAGUAAAUUUAUAGUUACGUGAAUUAUAUAAAAUAUACUAACUAAACCAGCAAUAUAAAUGCUGCAUUCACACUUUGAAGUUAAAAAGUUACUAACUGACUUAGAUCAAAUUAAUAAAUUAAA